UAUCCCUAUGAUGAUUGAUUGGAAUUAAAAUAAAAGUAGUGGACUGAGUCUUACUGAUGAAAAGUAUCAAUUCUGAGGGAUA
RNAcentral lists this small nucleolar RNA (82 nucleotides) under Cucumis sativus (cucumber). RNAcentral's name for it is "snoRNA snoR21". It matches the Rfam family "Small nucleolar RNA R21". Rfam says of the family: snoR21 is a member of the C/D class of snoRNA which contain the C (UGAUGA) and D (CUGA) box motifs. Most of the members of the box C/D family function in directing site-specific 2'-O-methylation of substrate RNAs. Lineage: Eukaryota; Viridiplantae; Streptophyta; Magnoliopsida; Cucurbitales; Cucurbitaceae. The record is from Rfam by way of RNAcentral.